GACGAACGCUGGCGGCGUGCUUAACACAUGCAAGUCGAACGGUGAACGAGGGAGCUUGCUCCCUCCGGAUCAGUGGCGAACGGGUGGGUAACACGUGAGCAAUCUGCCCCGAACUCUGGGAUAAGCGUUGGAAACGACGUCUAAUACCGGAUACGACGCGGGAGGGCAUCCUCUCCGCGUGGAAAGAACUUCGGUUCGGGAUGAGCUCGCGGCGUAUCAGCUUGUUGGUGUGGUAACGGCUGACCAAGGCGACGACGUGUAGCCGGGCUGAGAGGGAGACCGGCCCCGCUGCGCCUGAGACACGGCACAGCCCCCUCUGGUACGCAGCGGUGCAGUAGAGUGCACUAUGCGCGCAAGCCUGAUGCAGCCCCGCCGCGUGGGGUAAGACGGCAUUCGGGUUGUAAUCCUAUUUUCGCAGGGCAGAAGCGAAAGUGACGGUACCUGCAGAAAAAGCACCGGCUAACUACGUG
Molecule: ribosomal RNA, 470 nt
Filed under: uncultured bacterium
Lineage: Bacteria
Description: partial 16S ribosomal RNA
Rfam family: Bacterial small subunit ribosomal RNA
Source: RNAcentral